Long non-coding RNA from Hypomesus transpacificus, 1267 nucleotides. RefSeq lists it as uncharacterized. The record is from RefSeq and is a predicted model, not a curated record. NCBI's taxonomy places the organism in Eukaryota, Metazoa, Chordata, Actinopteri, Osmeriformes, Osmeridae. The transcript has 2 exons.
GCUCCUCCUACCUAGUACUGCUUUUAGAAGAAGUUUGUACCUUUUACUGACUACACCAGUAAUACCAGAAUGUAUAGGUGGGGGUUGAUCAGUGAGCACAAUAUACUGUACGAGAGAGAGAGAGAGUUUAUCUGCUCAACUCCUGUUUACCUGGCUGAUUUGCAACAAGGAACAAGGAAGAGGAAUAUUCCACUGUUUCUAAGAGGUUUGGAAGUCAAAUUUGUAAAUCGUUUUCAUAUUGAGGCUGGAGCAAACACAUCUAUAAAAUAUCUGUAAACAAUGUAGCCAUAAAUUACAGCAAUGACUUCUAGCAUGAGGCUAGAAAAAGUAAGUGUUACUGAAAAUAAACAGCUGGAGGAACGUUUAGCAACUAACUUGUUUAAUUGCAAACAGGUCAGUAACGAUUGGGUAUAAAAAGAGUAUCUUAGAGAGGCAGAGUCUUUCAGACGUAAAGAUGGGCACAGGUUCACCAAUCUGCCAGGCAGCACUGCAUUCAAAACAGGCAUGAUUCUAUAAUGGAAAUCAUUGCAUGGGCUCAGAAACACCUCCAGAACUCAUUGUCUGAACAACGUUUGCGGUGGGUGAAGCAUGGAGACAGACUCCAAGAGGGAAGGUAAGCCAAAGGGUUUUAUUAACACCAAAACAAAAACAUUAACGAACACAGAGUUAUGUCGGCGAGUUGCUUCAUUUUCCAGGGUCUCUUCCUCUAGCCCUCCUGGAUCAUGUGUUUGGUCUCUUCUCUCCCACGGCGAGUCUGUGUAGCACAAAAACCAUGUCAACCCCCAUAUCACCCCUUUUUGUCCUCUUUUGUACUCACCAGGAGUGGGGUAGAUGAGGAACAGGUGUGCCUCGUUGAGGCUUUGCUUCGGUAACGAGGCCAACGGGCUGCCAGGCCCACGGCUGACAAGGCCCCCUUGUCACAGGUGCCAUCCACACAUUCAACACUGCAUCGUUGACGUCUUUCCCCAAUCAGAAGCCCUGGGUUGAUCCAGGCCAACCUGAGAGCCCGGUCUGUCGCCUUUAACUCUGGGGACCCUGAUCAGUACAGAAAGUGCAGAUACGACCUUCUGAAAGCCAUCAAAGCAGCAAAAAGGCCUUACAGGACCAAGGUGGAGUCCAGCUACCACGUCUCUGACCCUGAUUCUGAGGGAGAGGCUACAGUGAGACCCAGUCCUCUGUCCUACUGCCAGACGAGCUGAAUGCCUUCUACGCUUACUUUCACCCCCCUACAGUGGAGCUACCUGAAGGCCUAGCCAGUGGUGUGCCU